CCGCAGAUCUGUUAAUCUUUCAUCAUCCUCAUCUGCGACUCACGGUACAACUGUCACUCCGGCUAUCAUCCUCGUCAUUCAUCGAUCUGAUACCGUACAUCUGAAAUCAUCUCACCAAUCUAAUUUUGAGGAGAUCUGCCACUCGAAGAAAUCCUUUCACCGAUCUGAUUUUGGCGACACCGAUCUUCAUUUCCUUUAAGGAGUCUGAGUGGAAUGCAGCUCAAAGUAUCGAAAUAAGUGAAGAUCUUGUGGCUGCUGCUAAGCUUCAGCUGAAUUUUCUUGCUGCUGUAGACAGAAACUGUUGGCUUUAUGAAGACCAAACCUUGCAACGGGCCAUCUACAGGUACAAUUCUUGCUGGCUUUCUUUGCUUGCUAAACACUCUGACUCUCGGAUCACAAACGGGCCUUUGGUUGUUCCUCUUGACUGUGAAUGGGUUUGGCAUUGUCACAGGCUCAAUCCGUAAGAUACAAAUCUGACGGCGAAGAAUUCUAUGAAGAAUUCUUGUCAACUGUAAUGUUUCUUCCUCUGUUGAAAAUAUCUCAAGAAAAGAA
This is a long non-coding RNA of Helianthus annuus (common sunflower), 552 nucleotides long. RefSeq lists it as uncharacterized. The record is from RefSeq and is a predicted model, not a curated record. Lineage: Eukaryota; Viridiplantae; Streptophyta; Magnoliopsida; Asterales; Asteraceae. The transcript has 5 exons.